AGUCUUAUAGUUUAAUUAAAACCUUAAAUUGCAAAUUUAAUAAAGAAUUCAUUUCUAAGACUU
Molecule: transfer RNA, 63 nt
Filed under: Idiocerini gen. 'Neoamritatus' sp.
Lineage: Eukaryota; Metazoa; Arthropoda; Insecta; Hemiptera; Cicadellidae
Description: tRNA-Cys
Source: RNAcentral